GUGGUUAAGGCAGCGGCUUGUGGCGCCGCUAUUCGGGGGUUCGAAUCCCCUCGCUCGCC
RNAcentral lists this transfer RNA (59 nucleotides) under Synechococcus sp. UBA9887. RNAcentral describes it as "tRNA-Ser". It matches the Rfam family "tRNA", at positions 15 to 71 of the family's 71-position model. From Rfam's summary of the family: Transfer RNA (tRNA) molecules are approximately 80 nucleotides in length. Their secondary structure includes four short double-helical elements and three loops (D, anti-codon, and T loops). The record is from RNAcentral. Lineage: Bacteria; Bacillati; Cyanobacteriota; Cyanophyceae; Synechococcales; Synechococcaceae.